RNAcentral lists this long non-coding RNA (227 nucleotides) under Elaeis guineensis (African oil palm). RNAcentral's name for it is "long non-coding RNA (EGUI_LNC068235)". Lineage: Eukaryota; Viridiplantae; Streptophyta; Magnoliopsida; Arecales; Arecaceae. The record is from RNAcentral.
CUGAAAAAAUAGUUUAUCCAAGAUGGCGGCAGUGGGAGGUUAGUAGAACUCGAAGAGAAGGUCUCUGAAAAGUCUAGAGCUAUAGAUCCUCAGGAACUCAUAGUCCAUGAGUCAGUAGUGAAGGAACCAGAUCUAAGAUUUCAGGAUUAGAUCUUGAAAUUUUUUCAAGAUCAGACAGCGAAAGACUAAAAUAAGUCAAAAUUUAUCUUAUAAAAUCAGAGAAUCCC